UGACCUCGGAUCAGGUGGAUCCCC
Molecule: ribosomal RNA, 24 nt
Filed under: Aspergillus westerdijkiae
Lineage: Eukaryota; Fungi; Ascomycota; Eurotiomycetes; Eurotiales; Aspergillaceae
Description: partial 28S ribosomal RNA
Source: RNAcentral